This 115-nucleotide non-coding RNA is filed under the name human gut metagenome. RNAcentral's name for it is "FMN riboswitch (RFN element)". It matches the Rfam family "FMN riboswitch aptamer (RFN element)". Rfam says of the family: The RFN element is a highly conserved domain that is found frequently in the 5'-untranslated regions of prokaryotic mRNAs that encode for flavin mononucleotide (FMN) biosynthesis and transport proteins. The record is from RNAcentral.
CUCUUCAGGGCAGGGUGCAAGUCCCUACCGGCGGUCAAAGUCCGCGAGCCUUCACCACGAGGGCCGAAUCGUUGAAACUACGAUACCGACAGUCAUAGUCUGGAUGAAAGAAGAA